AUUGAACGCUGGCGGCAUGCUUUACACAUGCAAGUCGAACGGUAACAGGCCUUCGGGUGCUGACGAGUGGCGAACGGGUGAGUAAUGCAUCGGAACGUGCCCAACUCGUGGGGGAGUAACGUAGCGAAAGUUACGCUAAUACCGCAUAAGCCCUGAGGGGGAAAGGUGGGGGACCGGCGAAGGCCUCACGCGAAUGGAGCGGCCGAUGUCAGAUUAGCUAGUUGGUGAGGUAAAGGCUCACCAAGGCGACGAUCUGUAGCGGGUCUGAGAGGAUGAUCCGCCACACUGGGACUGAGACACGGCCCAGACUCCUACGGGAGGCAGCAGU
Molecule: ribosomal RNA, 328 nt
Filed under: uncultured bacterium
Lineage: Bacteria
Description: bacterial SSU rRNA
Rfam family: Bacterial small subunit ribosomal RNA
Source: RNAcentral